RNAcentral lists this ribosomal RNA (602 nucleotides) under Xylopsora friesii. RNAcentral describes it as "eukaryotic LSU rRNA". It matches the Rfam family "Eukaryotic large subunit ribosomal RNA", at positions 1 to 605 of the family's 3401-position model. The record is from RNAcentral. Lineage: Eukaryota; Fungi; Ascomycota; Lecanoromycetes; Umbilicariales; Umbilicariaceae.
UGACCUCGGAUCAGGUAGGGAUACCCGCUGAACUUAAGCAUAUCAAUAAGCGGAGGAAAAGAAACCAACAGGGAUUGCCUCAGUAACGGCGAGUGAAGCGGCAACAGCUCAAAUUUGAAAUCUGGCUCUUUCAGGGUCCGAGUUGUAAUUUGUAGAGGAUGCUUCGGGUGCGGCGCCUGUCUAAGUUCCUUGGAACAGGACGUCAUAGAGGGUGAGAAUCCCGUACGUGACCGGCGACCAAGCCCAUGUGAAGCUCCUUCGACGAGUCGAGUUGUUUGGGAAUGCAGCUCUAAUUGGGUGGUAAAUUUCAUCUAAAGCUAAAUACCGGCCAGAGACCGAUAGCGCACAAGUAGAGUGAUCGAAAGAUGAAAAGCACUUUGGAAAGAGAGUUAAAAAGUACGUGAAAUUGUUGAAAGGGAAGCGCUUGCAACCAGACUUGCUCGCGGGUGAUCAGCUGCGGUUCUCCGCGGUGCACUCGCCCGUGAUCAGGCCAGCAUCGGUUUGGGCGGUUGGAUAAAGGCCCCGGGGAAUGUAGCUCCCUCCGGGGAGUGUUAUAGCCCGGGGUGCAAUGCGGCCAGCCCGGACCGAGGACCGCGCUUCGG